AGAAUCUCGUCAGUUAAGGACCUGGUCAGUUGGGUCCAGUCAGUGGGGGCCUGGUCAGUGGAGACCUAGGCCAUCAGUGGGUCCUGGAUAGUGAGGCCUGGUCAUUGGGGUCCUGGUGCUGCAUCUGUGAUCUCAAGUCUCUACUGGAAUUGGAUAGAGAUGGUGAAUUUCAGCCAGAGCGCCCAAAGAACUCGUGUCCCGCGCUCCUGAACGCCAUCAGCCGCCGCACCUCCAUCUUCCCUCCUCCCACGAGUCUCCUGCUCCCCGUGACUCUGGCCUCCUCGCAGUGUUGCUGGGCCACGUCAGGAAGUGCUGGAGGACGUGGCAUUGCACCAACACCAGGCGGCCAGCCGUGUGGCUCAUCCCGCAAAUCAGGCUCUUCCUGUGCAUGGAGAUGGAGUCCCUCUGGAGGCAGCCCGUGGCCCUGUUCUCGGGCAGGUGGAGCAUGGAGACGACUGGGAACUUCACUAGACACGCAUCCAGCCGGUUCAAGGGCUUGUCGCGCCGUGCACCAGCUUGCAGGAGAAAGCCCAACGCCUCGCCAAGCACGAAGGCCUCCCUUCCCGACUUGAUGAAGGCAGAGUAGCGGUUGAGGUUGCGGCUCACAGUGACCGAGCUCCUGCCCACGUGGGGACCCAGGGAGCCGUCGAGCUCCAGGUAUGCACCUCUGCCCAGUGCACCUGGAUCGUUCACCGUCAUGGAGCUGCCAUCCCACUUGUCGUCCCAGUCAUCAUCACUGCCCUAGCUGGCCUAGUUGCCACCAAGGAGCUGCUGAGGCCACGGCUUCAGGGCAUCCCUACCGCCUGGAAAUCCUGCGCUGGCUGCUGGAAGGCACUCUGUGGUGGCACCAGCUGCGGCUGCAGUAGCAGCUGGAAAGCACUGAGAGAUGGCUUCAAGGAGGCAGGCAGUGCACCGGGCAGGGCCUUGAAACCUCUGGGUGGUACAAUGGCCAUGGCACAGUGGGUCAAGGCACAGGGGCAGCCAUGGCGCGCUGGGCCAGUCCAGGGUUGCAGACCACUUGCACUGCAGAUAUAAGGCCAGGGUUGCUGAGGCCAUGAGCCCCUGCGAGUCAGCCCUUGAUGUCCUGCUCACUACACAGGCUCAGCACUUCAUGUUCUCAUAGAUCACUCUCAAAUUUUCUGCCAUCAAGUGGUACAGCAA
RNAcentral lists this long non-coding RNA (1161 nucleotides) under Homo sapiens (human). Its description in RNAcentral is "HSALNT0396347". Lineage: Eukaryota; Metazoa; Chordata; Mammalia; Primates; Hominidae. The record is from RNAcentral.